UAUGGAGGGUGCGAGCGUUGUCCGGAUUUAUUGGGUUUAAAGGGUGCGCAGGUGGCCCGGUCAGUCAGUGGUGAAAUGCGGCCGCUCAACGGUCGAACUGCCAUUGAUACUGCCUGGCUUGAGAGGAGUGGAGGCCGCCGGAACGGACGGUGUAGCGGUGAAAUGCAUAGAUAUCGGCCAGAACGCCGAUGGCGAAGGCAGGUGGCUAGGCUGCGUCUGACACUGAGGCACGAAAGCGUGGGGAGCGAACAGG
Molecule: ribosomal RNA, 253 nt
Filed under: uncultured bacterium
Lineage: Bacteria
Description: partial 16S ribosomal RNA
Rfam family: Bacterial small subunit ribosomal RNA
Source: RNAcentral